GUAGGUGAACCUGCGGAAGGAUCAUUAACACGUUUUCAACGUUAUGUGACUCUCCCUUAUUUUCCGUGCACAACAGGCCUCCUGACACUUUCCUCUCAGCUUGCUCUGUCUGCUGAUCGUGUCGGGCGUCUUUGGGGUUCAUAGGAGUCUCUUUUUUGUACUGAUGGCUGCUUCACUGCAACUAGAUGAACAAUAGUUUGACUGCUCCUGAAGGCGUUGCCAAACAACCCAAAAACCCCUUAAAUCUAAUUGCUCUGAACUCUUUAGUUGGUACGGCCUCACCGCCUGUCUAACGAUUUAAAAACAAACAACAACUCUUAACAACGGAUAUCUUGGUUCUC
This 341-nucleotide unclassified non-coding RNA is filed under the name rhizosphere metagenome. Its description in RNAcentral is "partial ribosomal RNA internal transcribed spacer region". The record is from RNAcentral.